Diachasmimorpha longicaudata is the source of this 333-nucleotide long non-coding RNA. RefSeq lists it as uncharacterized. The transcript has 2 exons. NCBI's taxonomy places the organism in Eukaryota, Metazoa, Arthropoda, Insecta, Hymenoptera, Braconidae. The record is from RefSeq and is a predicted model, not a curated record.
GUCGUAUAUAAAGUCGUAAAAUUUCAUAAAUUUGUCACCUGUCUGUUAACCUUCAUAGGCCACAAAAGGAUGAAACUACUGAAGAGUGCGAUUGGGCUGCUGUUGAUCAUUUCGAUGAUUGCGAUAGCCGCAGGACAAUCUUCCAAAUAUGUCUGUCCGGACGAUACGGAUUGCUUGAGAAACUGCAAAACUUUCUACUUCGGAUUUAAGAGAGGGGUAUGUAAUAAUGGCGAGUGUAACUGUUACGUCGAAUGAGGUAGAACAGCCCGCUACUUGAUCGUUGUGCAUCAUUUGCCAAUUGUAAUCCGAGACGAAUUAAAUUUUGAACCGAAA